Molecule: long non-coding RNA, 2370 nt
Organism: Triticum dicoccoides
Lineage: Eukaryota; Viridiplantae; Streptophyta; Magnoliopsida; Poales; Poaceae
Exons: 8
Source: RefSeq, a predicted model, not a curated record
CUCUCCCUCCCUCCCGCAGCCGCCUCCCUCCCUCCCUCCCGCGCGCCUCCUAUCCUCCCACCCGCAUCGCCGCCGCCGCCACCCACCUCCUCGAACCGCGAUUGAACCCUAGCCGUCACUCCCCGCCAGCCAUCCUCCCUGCCCGUCCGCCGCCGCCACGCCAUCACCGCCGCCACGCCAUCACCGCCACCUACCCGACGCGUUGUGGAGGAAGCGACCAGAGAGGGAGGGCGUCGCCGGCGUGUGCGCGUGCUUCCACGGGUUCUCGUCGCGGUCGCCGGAGCCGUGGUCAACCGCGUCGGGGAGGAUGGGCGCCACAUCGCGGUCGCCGAAUCCGUUGGCUGCGAGUCCGGGCGCGUCGGAUCCGGUGGCUGUUAGGAGGCAGCGCUCGGAGGAGGUCGGACGCAAGAGGCCAGCGCGCGGAAGAGGCCGGGGCAUGGAGGCAGCGCACGGAGCUCAGUUGCGGCGACGAGCUGUGCUACUGCCUUGGCUACAACCUCGUAGGUUCAUCUCCAAUGGCAAAUCCAUAGCUUUGUGCUAAAGGUUCAGGCAGAUGGAAGCAUUAGCAAUUCCCUCGACGUAGCUCCCGAUUGGGCCUGAACCACAACCAGCUAAGGGGACAUUUCUACAGAUCGUUUCUAUCUGAUUUCAUACAUUUUCAGUUUUUGGAACACCCAGAAUGGAUAUAUUGAGUGUCCCUCUUGCUGCUAAACACAAUACAGUUGAGAUUAUGUCCCUACUGAGCUAAGGGGACAUUUCUACAGAUCGUUUCUAUCUGAUUUCAUACAUUUUCAGUUUUUGGAACACCCAGAAUGGAUAUAUUGAGUGUCCCUCUUGCUGCUAAACACAAUACAGUUGAGAUUAUGUCCCUACUGAGAUUCUUAAAGAACAUGGUACACCGGAAUAGCUUCAGAUCAAAGUAACUCAGCCGAUGGACCUUCUUAUCAUGAAACACCAUGGCAAUCGAGCUGUCGUCCGUCCAUCCCUCCCUCCUCGCGCCCGGAACCCUAGCUCGCGGCCAUGGCGACCGUGCAUGUCGCAGGCAGUGCAGGAUCUUCAGCACUACAAGUUGUGAUUUCUAUCACAUGUUUGUUUGAUACACAAGGUCCUUCCAUCAUGUACCCACCCACACAUGCAAAUGAAUUCGUUUGGUGGUUAUAUCUUGAGUGGCAUCUGAAUACACAAGCGUGACUAAUAGUAAGCGUGAGUGCUAGAGAAGUCCCCAUUUAGCAUGAUGGAGAGCAGGAUUGUCCCCAUUUAUAUUUGGUUCACACAGUUGUAGCUUCCUUUUCCUACGGGUUGCAAUGAUAUGGCUUGGUCGCGGCUUAGGUCAGACAGAGAUGAUCCAGUACUAAUUAAGCAUCAUUGAUAAAUAACAAGAGGGGCAUGUGAGGAGCUCUGUCUUGCUUGUAAUAGCUAAACUAUUGUUACCUACUUAAUGAGAUCCAUCGUCGAUCUGCUCUAUUGACUAAAUGUACCCUGCUUGCUUUGCUUUGACAAAAUGGCCUGUACUGAACUUGGUCAUCCUUGGCUACCCAGAUGAGAUGUCUAUAAGGAGAACUAUCCAGUCCAUAUCUGAAUCUAGGAACUAUGAACUAUUAUAUCGAUGAUGUCGAGUUAUGUCUACAUAGCCUGCCUUGCUAUGCUUCUAUAAGCUCAAUGUAUCCUUUGUACUGUUCUUCUUCUUUGACUUAUCUGCUCAUUUUUAGAUAAAUUUUCAUGUGAGUACCAAUGUUAUAAACCAGAAUUCUCUUUCUAAGGAUGCUUAUGUCAGAACGGUUCAUCAUAUUUGUCAAUAUAUUCUAUACAAUAUGUUAUGCAGUCUAAAACCCAUCUUAAAUUUCAUAUCUUAUGAAUAGAUAAUAAUUUGCAGUAUGACACUGUACUGAACUAAUAUCAUUGCUUUUUUUCAUAUUUACAAUGCUCCUAUGACUGUUCUGUAAAAAAAAUGCUCCUAUGACUGUUCUGUAAAAAAAAUGCUCCUAUGACUGUAUUACCCAAUUGGAUAUAAUUGUACCCGGCAGCGGCGCUGCCGGGUGCGGCAAGCCGCAUUUCCUACUGUUAAAUUGAUUGACUGGUGUGCAUAUGAUUUCAAGGUAUCACUUUCAAGAAUAUUGUAGGAAGGGUGGACUAUGAAGGGAAACACUGGUGUUCUAAGAUAGAUGUUCUGUGUUUGAGAUCUUGCCUUGGUAGCUGGAUGCCUUGGUGCAAGACAUUCAAGUUUAGAUUGAUCCCCUGUACCCAUGAGUUCACUUCUCAUGUAGAGCUAAUAGUCCUGUUAUUUUUCUAUACACUAUGGCAGAGUAGAGAUAUAUUGUGUAUGCCAACAUGUAUGUAAGAGUAAUAGUAAUAUGAUACUUCUGAUUGUAG